Molecule: small RNA, 29 nt
Filed under: Bombyx mori (domestic silkworm)
Lineage: Eukaryota; Metazoa; Arthropoda; Insecta; Lepidoptera; Bombycidae
Description: ovarian small RNA-25884
Source: RNAcentral
UCAUAAUGUCCACGUUCUAUUGAGAAUGC